Molecule: long non-coding RNA, 280 nt
Filed under: Brassica napus (rape)
Lineage: Eukaryota; Viridiplantae; Streptophyta; Magnoliopsida; Brassicales; Brassicaceae
Description: long non-coding RNA (BNAP_LNC012553)
Source: RNAcentral
AUGGUAAUUAAAUACAGUAGAUCCACUUAAAAAUUGUACCUGCUGUUGUAUAUCAGCUGCACUAAAGAGAACAGACAGACUGCGCGUCUACGAUUAUCACUGCAACAUUAAGCCUUACAAUUUACUCAUGGGUUUGGAAAACAUAUUUGUUAUGUAGCUAAAUUUUGAUAUUACAAAAAACCACAAUAGACACCUAGAUAUUUUAUUUAUUAAAACAUUUAUUACGUCGGGUUUGUGCUUUGGUCUAUAUUGCCGAGUCAGCUUUGGGUUUCUUUGCUCG